GCCUACGGGGGGCAGCAGUGAGGAAUAUUGGUCAAUGGUCGGGAGACUGAACCAGCCAAGCCGCGUGAGGGAUGAAGGUACAGAGUAUCGUAAACCUCUUUUGUCAGGGAACAAAGGCGGGGACGUGUCCCCGGAUGAGUGUACCUGAAGAAAAAGCAUCGGCUAACUCCGUGCCAGCAGCCGCGGUAAUACGGAGGAUGCGAGCGCUAUCCGGAUUUAUUGGGUUUAAAGGGUGCGCAGGCGGUCUGUUAAGUCAGCGGUCAAAGCCCGGGGCUCAACCCCGGUCCGCCGUUGAAACUGGCAGG
This 305-nucleotide ribosomal RNA is filed under the name uncultured bacterium. Its description in RNAcentral is "bacterial SSU rRNA". It matches the Rfam family "Bacterial small subunit ribosomal RNA", at positions 337 to 640 of the family's 1533-position model. The record is from RNAcentral.